Molecule: small RNA, 1681 nt
Filed under: Caenorhabditis elegans
Lineage: Eukaryota; Metazoa; Nematoda; Chromadorea; Rhabditida; Rhabditidae
Description: Unclassified non-coding RNA ZK370.12
Source: RNAcentral
UCAAUUUCAACCUUCAUCACUUACAAUUCAACAAUAUUUGGAUUUCGGUCGAAUAGGAACAUCAGCAAAUUCAUACACAUUUUUGAAAAAUGAGCUUCUCGUUCGUUUGGCGAAUAUUAUGCAGGAAUUCACACUUCUUCCACCAAAGCUUCUUCAAAUGCCAAGUUCAAAAAUGGUAUCAAAUUGGUAUGCUGAGAGUUUCGAGGAUCUUCUUUUGUUCGAGGCAUCUGAUUCAUCUCCAGAGCAAGUUGCAAGGUAAGAGAAAAAAUUGAAUACCUAAUUUACAAAAAAAAACUUGAUUUUUUGGUUUUAAAAGUUUAGAAAUACAUUUUUAAAAUAUUAAUGUUAAUUUAUGUUUUUCAGAUUCAAUGAUCAGUUAACAGUCGUACUGAAAAGACACGCACAUGUCGUCGAAACAAUGGCUGAAGGAUUGAUUGAACUUCGAGAAUCGGAUGGAGUAGAUAUUGCAAGUGAAAAAGGAAUUCAAUAUUUCUUGGAUCGAUUUUACAUCAACAGAAUUUCCAUUCGUAUGCUUCAAAAUCAACAUCUGGUAAGUUAUUUUAAAAAUUUUAAUAUUUUCAAAUAAAACAUUUUUUCCAGGUUGUAUUCGGAAAUGUUCUCCCAGAAAGUCCUCGUCAUGUUGGAUGUAUUGAUCCUGCCUGUGAUGUGGAAAGUGUAGUGUACGAUGCUUUUGAAAAUGCUCGGUGAGUGCAAGUUGAUGAUAAAAUUGCCUAGAAAUUAAAGAAAUAAGCCGAUAAAAGUCCAAAGUUUCACCAGAAAAUGUUCUAAAAUUUUUUUUUUGAGAUUGAUGUUCAAGGCCCUCAGCAAUACCUUCCAUUUCUUCAUUUUUUGCUUCUUUGCUAGAACUUCCGGCUCUUAAUUCUUGCAGAAAAUUGUGAUAAAUUAAUUCUGAGUAAAUUUUUCUCAAAAAAUUUACGAAAAGUCAAUAAAUUUUAACAAAAAUUUCCGUUGGACCGCUCUGGUCCUCAUCAGGCCUUCUCAACUAUACGAAUGGCGUCUUUUGGGUUUUUGAUAAGCUAGUUCUUCGCUGUCCGUCUGCGACGAAGAUUGAAUGUGCUGUGUCUCUGGGUGAGCACAUAGUCGUCAGUUGUCAUUUGAGCCUGAAAACAUAGUUCAUUCUCUCUACCACCACUGCCCAUUCAACCUUUCUUCCGUGCAGGGAGUGUUCUUUGAGAUGGAGAGGGAUGACGUUUGAUUUUUUAAAACGCGUGUGAUUUCGGGCAAACCUGAUCAUUUCAAAGAACGAAAAUAUGAAUUAGAGGGAUAAGGAGGAAAAUAUGCAAUUUUGAUUUAGAAAAUUUCCGUGGGAGUUUUAUUCUGAUCUUUUACAAAAUUAUCAUAGAAAAUUUGAUUUGAGGGUUAAAAAAACACAAAAAAAUUUUUAAUGAUUUUUUUCACUUUUGCAAAAAUAAAGGAACGGCUGAAACUAUUUCACCUGAAAUUUAGCGACAUGAUUUUAAUCGGAAAAACUUAAAAAAAAACAGAAAAAGCUAAUAUUUUCAUAUAAUAAUUUUUUGUUACAGAUUUCUAUGUGAUCGAUACUACUUGACAAGUCCAUCAAUGAAGCUUGAAAUGCACAAUGCCGUUGAAAAAGGAAAACCAAUAUCGAUUGUCGCCGUACCAAGUCAUCUCUAUCACAUGAUGUUCGAACUGUUUAAGG